UUUAACUUGUAGGAUGGAAAUAAACAAACAGCCACUUGAGAAGACAGCAAUGGUUGUUCUCAUGUUUUGGCUGUUCAAAAAUCUUUUUGUGUCAUUGAUUUCCAUAAUCAGUGGUGGUUCUGAUAGUAAAAGAUAUGUAGCUUUGUAUUUUGGCAUCCAAAAAAUAGCGCAUUAUCUAGCUUUCUUAAGAAUGGGCAAUUGAAGAUACUAAACACUUGUGUUAGGAUGCUUGUUCUGGAAACAGUUGACAAAAUGAUCAAGA
This 262-nucleotide unclassified non-coding RNA is filed under the name Hevea brasiliensis (rubber tree). The record is from RNAcentral. Lineage: Eukaryota; Viridiplantae; Streptophyta; Magnoliopsida; Malpighiales; Euphorbiaceae.